This 497-nucleotide ribosomal RNA is filed under the name uncultured bacterium. Its description in RNAcentral is "partial 16S ribosomal RNA". It matches the Rfam family "Bacterial small subunit ribosomal RNA", at positions 28 to 507 of the family's 1533-position model. The record is from RNAcentral.
GAUGAACGCUGGCGGCGUGCCUAAUACAUGCAAGUCGAGCGAACAGACGAGGAGCUUGCUCCUCUGACGUUAGCGGCGGACGGGUGAGUAACACGUGGAUAACCUACCUAUAAGACUGGGAUAACUUCGGGAAACCGGAGCUAAUACCGGAUAAUAUAUUGAACCGCAUGGUUCAAUAGUGAAAGACGGUUUUGCUGUCACUUUUAGAUGGAUCCGCGCCGCAUUAGCUAGUUGGUAAGGUAACGGCUUACCAAGGCAACGAUGCGUAGCCGACCUGAGAGGAUGAUCGGCCACACUGGAACUGAGACACGGUCCAGACUCCUACGGGAGGCAGCAGUAGGGAAUCUUCGGCAAUGGGCGAAAGCCUGACGCAGCAACGCCGCGUGAGUGAUGAAGGUCUUCGGAUCGUAAAACUCUGUUAUUAGGAAAGAACAAAUGUGUAAGUAACUAUGCACGUCUUGACGGUACCUAAUCAGAAAGCCACGGCUAACUACGUG